AUGACGGACCUGUCAGGAUAGAUUAUCUCGACAUAUCGUGUAAUAUCGUGGCAUCUCGGAUAAUAUUAAGACGUCACGCCAGAACUGAUUCUGGUUUUGUUGACAAAGUUUCUACCACAGGUCAUAAUUUAUGCUACCUAAAUUAAUGUGUUACCUAAAUUUACUAUGUGGUACGUCUUUAUGUAGUCACAGUAAGGCGACAUGCCAUUAUAUAACGUAUCAUGUUACUUAAAUAUAAGUCGACUUGCCAUUUGAUUAACAUGGUUUUGCUUCCUAAAUUUAAACGAGAAAAUCACAAGAUGAAAAUGUCAACUUGCACGAACACAAAAGGCAACACAAAGUAUUUCUUGAAUCUGUGUGUGUUCCGGACAGACGGACGUGUCUAUUUCGACGUUUUCCAUUUGCAUUCGUGACGGGAGAAUGGAGGAGAUGGAAAGUUCUUGAGCUGAAUUUAGUAAAACAGAGACCACCAAAGGAAGUUGUGAGAGACUGACAAUGAUGUACUGAACGAUCAUGAUGGAAAGACAACAUAGUCAAAUGGGGGUUUGCCAUAAGCUAAACUUGUGCAUAGCCUGCUUUGAUAGAGAGCCUUCAGGAUAUUUUCAUCUAUGUGACUUACCGCCUGUAUACCUUGUACACUACAUAUUUUUAAAAACAAUCUAGGAAGAAAUACCCUAAAUGUGGGAGUAAAAUUGAAGCUAUCAGAAACAUUUAUAUUACUAGAAAGUAUUUGAUAAUAUAAUAGCAAUUCUUACAUGAUUACAAUCAGGUAGAUACUUAAGAGCGGAAAGCAUUUUAAGUUGAACUGUUUACUUCUUUCGAUGUAGGACACAAUGGAGAAUUGUUAACAUGCUUCUUGAAUUUAGAAUAUUAGACACCGAUGCGUCUUUGAAAUUUACUUAUACUGUGAACAGUAUUGGAUAUAAAGGCAACAUCAAUGUUAAGUUAUUGACAUCUUAUUUUAUAUAACGUUGAACCAGCUAUAAAGAUUCAACCAUGGCUACAUCUUGUAUCUACUAAUUUACAGGACAUUUUUAUUUGUUUAUAUUGUACAUAGUGCCACGUAUGAAAAAACAGUAAAGAUACAUAUGAAGAUUUGUAUUUUGUUUCCUAAUAUUUGCUGUAUUAGGUAAAGGCAAUAUCUGUAAUGUUAAGUUUGUUUUUGAAUCAUAAUAUAUAUCAGGUGAACAAGAGUAAAAGUUGAGUAAGUCUCCCCGUACAUGGA
Molecule: long non-coding RNA, 1225 nt
Organism: Mercenaria mercenaria
Lineage: Eukaryota; Metazoa; Mollusca; Bivalvia; Venerida; Veneridae
Exons: 4
Source: RefSeq, a predicted model, not a curated record